Molecule: long non-coding RNA, 578 nt
Organism: Anolis carolinensis (green anole)
Lineage: Eukaryota; Metazoa; Chordata; Lepidosauria; Squamata; Anolidae
Exons: 2
Source: RefSeq, a predicted model, not a curated record
CAGGGCUGAGUAACCUGUUGUGCUCCGGAUGCUGAAUUUCAAUUCUUAGCAGCUGUAGCCUAUUUUUGUGGAAGCUGGACAGUAAGCUGGAAAUGGGAAGACUCAGCACCAUGUCAUCAGGCAACUUUCUUCCAAUCCAUAGGAAAUGUUUGACACACUCAGGGGCUGAGAAACUCUGGGAUGUGCUCUGGAAGAAGGGAACAUUUUUCAAUCUACACUUCAACACAGCAUUUUGAUUUGAAUUAUUUCCACAUCUGCAGAUAGGUUCACAUAGCUCAUCACAAAAUAGAUCAAAUUAAAUCACCAUUAAAUCAUAUUUCUUCUUGGGAAUGAAACUGCUGUGGCGCAGGCUGGAAAGCAAGCCAGCUACAACAAAUCAACAAAUCACUCUGACCAAGAGGUCAUUAGUUCGAGGCCAGCCCGGUGCCUGCGUCUUGUCUCUGUCUCUGUUCUAUGUCAUGGCAUUGAAUGUUUUCCUUUAUGUGUGCAAUGUGAUCCGCCCUGAGUCCCCUUCGGGGUGAGAAGGGUGGAAUAUAAAUGCUGUAAAUAAAUAAAUAAUAAUUAACGAAGUGACACAA